UCCCGAAAGAGAGUCCUAUUUGGACUCCAGGAGGGGGCGGGCGCCCAGUGCCUGGCCCCGUUCGGCCUCCGCUUCCUUCCCGUGGCUUUUGGAGUCUUCUAGAUGUAAGAUAAUUGCGCGGCAUGUUAAUAUCUCUAUGUAAUCCCGACGUGUGGACCUUUCUUCCUUAUUUCCUGAUAACCCCCUGCAGAAAUAGAAAAACACCAAAACUCGUGGAAUUCUGUCACAUAAAACCCUAAGUCUAGAUGUUGAUUUCAUUU
Molecule: long non-coding RNA, 260 nt
Filed under: Sorghum bicolor (sorghum)
Lineage: Eukaryota; Viridiplantae; Streptophyta; Magnoliopsida; Poales; Poaceae
Description: long non-coding RNA (SBIC_LNC004664)
Source: RNAcentral